GAAGAAAAAAAGCCAACCAGAACGGAUACAACUCCAGAGGAAGUCAUGGCUUUCCUCUUUUAUCCACGUGUAAAAAUACUCCCUCCUCCGGAACCCAUGCUUCCCGGUUCCAGAACCACUGAGCCUCUCCUGCACCCUCCUCCCUGGCCACCUGGUCAUUCCACUGAGAACAUUGGCAUCGUUCUCCUGGUCUUCCUCUUCUGUCCUGGUGCUGCCAUUGUCCUGCUGGUCUUGGUGUCCAAGAGAACAGCCCUUACUGUAAGUCACCGUUAUCUCAGCCAUACCAGACCUCAUCAUGGUGGGAAAACAAGACCAAGACAUCCCUGUCUGAGCAAAGACACCAUUCCUGCUAAUCAGCUCAUUUCCUCAGGUCUGGCUUUCUCCACCUUAUUACAUUCCAUCAAGACCUUCAGAUUCUCAACCUCUCUCUUUUCCACCAGUACACCACUUCUCUCACUACUUCUCAUCCAUCCUUAUCCAACCUCAUUUUAAAAAAUCAUGUCUUCAGCUCCUUCUGCCAACAAGCACAGCUCACUUGAACUCCUCCCUGUGGGACUCUUGAUCACUGAGUAAUCCUUAAGGAAGACAUGGAGGAUUGUCACCUGAUACCCCUGCAAGCACAAGUUCUCCUGCAGCAGCUGAGUCCUGGAUGCCAUGUACCAGUCUUACCCUCCCUGACCACCUCUCUCCCCCAUUCCCAUAGUACAGUUCCAAAAGUUCACCCCUUUUCACAGUUCCCCACCUAACCCCUCUUCCAUCUCACUUUGCAAAUUAACUAUUAUCUUACUUCACCAAGAAAGCAGAAGCUGUCCACAGAAAACUCCCUCCGCACAGCAACACACAGAUAGCAUACCCACAACUACAUUUCAUUCUCAUAUUUUUUCCUAAAUUGCAGUAGGACAGAGUAACUUAAAAUCUCUUCUCAUGGGGGUGCCUGGGUGCUCAGUCCAUUAAGCAUCUGCCUCUGGCUCAGGUCAUGAUCCCGGGGUCCUGGAAUCAAACCAUCUGCCCCCUCUCCUCUCUCAUGCUCUAUUUCAAAUAAAUGAAUAAAAUCUUUUUAAAAAAUCUCUCUU
This 1073-nucleotide long non-coding RNA is filed under the name Vulpes vulpes (red fox). RNAcentral describes it as "lncRNA (ENSVVUG00000019745.1)". Lineage: Eukaryota; Metazoa; Chordata; Mammalia; Carnivora; Canidae. The record is from RNAcentral.